Molecule: unclassified non-coding RNA, 71 nt
Filed under: Vibrio diabolicus
Lineage: Bacteria; Pseudomonadati; Pseudomonadota; Gammaproteobacteria; Vibrionales; Vibrionaceae
Description: suhB
Source: RNAcentral
CGUUGUAAAUUCGCUUAAUUCCUUCCUAAACUGAGAGCCGGAUGCAAAUUCCGGCUCUUUUUUUGCUAGUU